AACAUUCUGGAAAGUAUAACCAUAGAGGGUGAUAGUCCCGUAUGCGAAAAACAAACCUUAGCUAGCAGUAUCCUGAGUAGGGCGGGACACGAGGAAUCCUGUCUGAAUCCGGGUCGACCACGAUCCAACCCUAAAUACUAAUACCAGAUCGAUAGUGCACAAGUACCGUGAGGGAAAGGUGAAAAGAACUGAGGUGAUCAGAGUGAAAUAGAACCUGAAACCAUUUGCUUACAAUCAUUCAGAGCCCUAUGUAGCAAUACAGGGUGAUGGACUGCCUUUUGCAUAAUGAGCCUGCGAGUUGUGGUGUCUGGCAAGGUUAAGCAAACGCGAAGCCGUAGCGAAAGCGAGUCUGAAUAGGGCGCUUAGUCAGAUGCUGCAGACCCGAAACGAAGUGAUCUAUCCAUGAGCAAGUUGAAGCUAGUGUAAGAACUAGUGGAGGACUGAACCCAUAGGCGUUGAAAAGCCCCGGGAUGACUUGUGGAUAGGGGUGAAAGGCCAAUCAAACUUCGUGAUAGCUGGUUCUCUCCGAAAUAUAUUUAGGUAUAGCGUUGUGUCGUAAUAUAAGGGGGUAGAGCACUGAAUGGGCUAGGGCAUACACCAAUGUACCAAACCCUAUCAAACUCCGAAUACCUUAUAUGUAAUCACAGCAGUCAGGCGGCGAGUGAUAAAAUCCGUCGUCAAGAGGGAAACAACCCAG
Molecule: ribosomal RNA, 697 nt
Filed under: Campylobacter jejuni
Lineage: Bacteria; Pseudomonadati; Campylobacterota; Epsilonproteobacteria; Campylobacterales; Campylobacteraceae
Description: partial 23S ribosomal RNA
Rfam family: Bacterial large subunit ribosomal RNA
Source: RNAcentral